This 29-nucleotide non-coding RNA is filed under the name Mus musculus (house mouse). Lineage: Eukaryota; Metazoa; Chordata; Mammalia; Rodentia; Muridae. The record is from RNAcentral.
UGGUACCAUUUUAGCCUUCAGAAAGCAAG